GCCUGAUAAAAUUACUACUAAAUUUAGUCAUUGACUUUCUAGUGUGUUGGUAUAUUGCAAGUCAUGGAAGGAAAAUAUUAUAAUUUUUUUAGAGUUUAAUUUCUGUGACUUUCAAUGUAAAAGAUAGUAAAUUAUCAUGAAAAUUUAAUAAUUAGAUGACGGUAUAAAUCUUGUAUGAACUAUUUUUUCUAAUUUGUUUUAUUUGGUACCAUCAUAAUUAGGGUCUUAAGUUCUCUAGUGGUACCCACGAGCUUUUGUCCUUUAGAUCGAUUAUGAGACUAAUUCUUGAUUAGGACUUAGUCACACUUAAAACUCAUCACCUCUCUCCAAGAAUAUAUUUUGUGAGAGAUGAAACUUAGGUUCUCCUCCACAAACUAAGCUACACCUAUUAGAUAUUUUCUCUAAUUGUUAUACUAUAUCAUUAUGUGUGUGGGCGAGGGUCUUGGUUAUAGGUGGCCGUGCCUAACCAAUAAUUGAUGUACUAUGUUAUGUGUUUGUUGUCGAGAAAUGUCCAAACCGUGUAAGAAACUGGGGGCGUGACACAGGAUAAGAUAUUUAAGCAAAAUAGAAAACUACUUACACAGAAACAGUCUAGGAUGGCAUCUCUCACUCAAAAGAAAAGCAAAAGGCUUGUGUGUGUUGUGUGUGUACUGACACGUUAUUGUAAUGGCCACUGGAUUGUCAUUUGCGUGGACAUGAAUGGACCAAAUCAGGGAUGGUGGCAGGCAGCGCACUGAGGCUGAGCUAGGCACAUACGGGUCCACUCAGAUAAUGUAGCUAGAACUGGAAGCUAACCUUGGUAAUUCGACAAAAAACUACCAGAGCGCGUUAGAGAUUCUGGUUGGGGCUUUCUUCUCCGUCGGUUGUGCCCGUCUAACCGCUUCCUGCAGCUCCUUUUCCCCUCAUCAAAUUCCUCCAGUGAAUGGAACCUACACAAGGGUUCAUCAUUCAAACCACUACAGUCAGGCCUUAUGAAAGUCAUUUUCUCCCCCCCUAUUGCAGAAUCUACCGGUAUGUGGCUUUGUCAAUGCAUCAUCCAUCAAGUACAAUUAAAGCUAUAGCCUAUAUGACUUCAAGAGGGUGGUCUCCUAAAUUAGCAUCAUACUUAUUGUAAAUUAAAUUAACCAUUUACAAGUGUUUUUAAUGCAUAAGUUCCAGCUCAGCAUGGAAACCACCCACGAGAUAAUCAGGUAUCUUAGCAUGGAAUUAUCUUAAUUAAUCCGGCAGAAUUUUCCAGUAUAGUCUCCAUCAAUUGAGAUUCCUUUUUUUUGUUGA
Long non-coding RNA from Glycine soja, 1275 nucleotides. RefSeq lists it as uncharacterized. Lineage: Eukaryota; Viridiplantae; Streptophyta; Magnoliopsida; Fabales; Fabaceae. The transcript has 3 exons. The record is from RefSeq and is a predicted model, not a curated record.